Molecule: long non-coding RNA, 541 nt
Organism: Pongo pygmaeus (Bornean orangutan)
Lineage: Eukaryota; Metazoa; Chordata; Mammalia; Primates; Hominidae
Exons: 4
Source: RefSeq, a predicted model, not a curated record
ACUUUGUUACCAGGCUGGAGGGCAGUGGCGUGAUCUUAGCUCACUACAGCCUUGACCUUCUGGACUCAAGUGAUCCUCCCACCUCUGCCUCCCAAGUAGCUGGAACUACAGGCACAUGCCACUGUGCCCAGCAGAUAUUUACCAAUGGCCUAUUAUGAACCGUACCCUAAAAGCUUCACAAAGGAAAAGUGAAUGGGCAGAGAGGAAUUUGAUGUUUCUAAAAGACGUGUGUGACCUGAUGUGGAAUUAAUAUACCAAUAUGUGAAAUUUCCAGGAAGUAAGAGAAUGCUUGAAGGAGUUAUUGUGAUGAUCACACCUGGAAUUAAGGCACCAUGGAGGAGCUAACUGGAAUGAGACUGCAGAACUACAAUGGGCACAAUACAGUAUAUAUUGUAAUGAAGGAGGAAGCACACAUUUAUUUUUGCACUACUUGAAUGUCACUGUUGUAAAGGAUGACCCUCUUUAUUCACAAGGAGACAACACUGGCUUUAGGAUAUCUCUUACGGCCAGAGGCUGGGCAAAUGUCCUACUAUCAGGUCAG